GAUGAACGCUGGCGGCGUGCCUAAUACAUGCAAGUCGAGCGAACGGACGAGAAGCUUGCUCCUCUGAUGUUAGCGCGGGACGGGUGAGUAACACGUGGAUAACCUACCUAUAAGACUGGGAUAACUUCGGGAAACCGGAGCUAAUACCGGAUAAUAUUUUGACCCGCAUGGUUCAAAAGUGAAAGACGGUCUUGCUGUCACUUAUAGAUGGCUCCGCCCUCAAUUAGCUAGUUGGUAAGGUAACGGCUUACCAAGGCAACGAUGCAAAGCCGACCUGAGAGGGUGAUCGGCCACACUGGAACUGAGACACGGUCCAGACUCCGACGGGAGGCAGCAGUAGGGAAUCUUCCGCAAUGGGCGAAAGCCGGACGGAGCAACGCCGCGUGAGUGAUGAAGGUCUUCGGAUCGUAAAACUCUGUUAUUAGGGAAGAACAAAUGUGUAAGUAACUGUGCACAUCUUGACGGUACCUAAUCAGAAAGCCACGGCUAACUACGUG
This 497-nucleotide ribosomal RNA is filed under the name uncultured bacterium. RNAcentral describes it as "partial 16S ribosomal RNA". It matches the Rfam family "Bacterial small subunit ribosomal RNA", at positions 28 to 507 of the family's 1533-position model. The record is from RNAcentral.